RNAcentral lists this non-coding RNA (23 nucleotides) under Mus musculus (house mouse). The record is from RNAcentral. Lineage: Eukaryota; Metazoa; Chordata; Mammalia; Rodentia; Muridae.
CAGAAAAGGUGGAGCCUCGAAGG